GUGCUCACUUCAGCAGCACAUAUACUAAAAUUGAAAUGAUACAGAGACCAUUAGCAUGGCCCUGUGAGAGACUGAUAUGCAAAUUAGUGAAGCUUUCCAUAUUUUA
This is a small nuclear RNA of Lemur catta (Ring-tailed lemur), 106 nucleotides long. The record is from RefSeq and is a predicted model, not a curated record. Lineage: Eukaryota; Metazoa; Chordata; Mammalia; Primates; Lemuridae.